RNAcentral lists this ribosomal RNA (258 nucleotides) under Triticum aestivum (bread wheat). Its description in RNAcentral is "partial small subunit ribosomal RNA". The record is from RNAcentral. Lineage: Eukaryota; Viridiplantae; Streptophyta; Magnoliopsida; Poales; Poaceae.
AUGGGAGGAGGCAUCUUGCUCUCCCUGUUCGUUCCCACUGCUGCCGGCGGCCAGAGCUUCCUGAUCAGAAAGCUUGUGAUGGCCGCAGAGGGUGGCAAGGACUGCCUCGGUGACCUCAUUGACGACCUCCUCCGGCAUCUGUUGUUCCUUCUUCAGCCCGAAGGUGCCCCGAAGACUUGUGUGCUAGACACCAGGUGGCGCGAACUAUGCAGGCGCACCACUAGCCUACACUCCGUCAGUCUCAAGCGUUGGCUGUAG